AGGGGUAUAGUUCAAUGGAUAGAACAUUGAUCUUCUAAAUCAAGAAUGCGAGUUCGAAUCUUGCUAUCCCUA
Molecule: transfer RNA, 72 nt
Filed under: Planctomycetota bacterium
Lineage: Bacteria; Pseudomonadati; Planctomycetota
Description: Planctomycetes bacterium tRNA-Arg
Rfam family: tRNA
About the family: Transfer RNA (tRNA) molecules are approximately 80 nucleotides in length. Their secondary structure includes four short double-helical elements and three loops (D, anti-codon, and T loops).
Source: RNAcentral